RNAcentral lists this ribosomal RNA (3034 nucleotides) under Triticum aestivum (bread wheat). Its description in RNAcentral is "partial small subunit ribosomal RNA". The record is from RNAcentral. Lineage: Eukaryota; Viridiplantae; Streptophyta; Magnoliopsida; Poales; Poaceae.
CCUUACGGUACUAAUUGAAAGCUCGGGUAGAGUAGAGUAGAGUAGAGUAGAGUGUUCUCUUUUUCCACUUUACAUAUCACGACUUUCCGAUGUUUAUAAGCCGGCGUUGUCCGCCUCGCCGACGGAACGGGGGGCGAUCUAAAGUCCUCGGGCGAAGCCGGCGCAGCGAAGCGACGAGGCGGGGGUGUUGCGUGCGCGGGUGGAAGGAAGGAAGGGAGGGUCGGCAGGCUAGCGGGUGUGCACCGGCGCGGCGGGCGGGAUAUGGCGGGCGCCGGAGCGGCUGCGGCGAGGAAAAACAGGAGGCCGCCUCCGCCGGCCUCGCCGGAUCCCAAGGCCGCUCAGGGACGAGGCCCGGGUUAGGAGCCAGCUUGACCUCCUGUGCGCAUCGGGGCCGAAGAAGACGCCGCUGGAGACCACGCCGGAGUACCUCGGGUUCGGGUUGUGGCGCGAGCGGGCGUUCGGAUAUCUUCUCCGUCAUCUGUUGAACUGCUAACUACGAUCGUGCUUCCGUUCGUUGCCGUUGAACGGACGACGUUUUCUGCACUCAAGAAGCCUACGUUAUAGUACGUAAAGGAGCCGUCUACGUCGAUCAUGACGACGGUUCCUACGACUCUACUUGGUUCAUUGAAUAUACCCCCUGGUUCCCUACACAAUGAUGCCCAUGAUAAUAGGUCCGAGUAAACCUCCUACCCUACUCUUAUCGAUGAUACGACCUAGCUUACCUGACCUCUACGUUGGCUGUCACCAAGUUCGACUCUUACCUAGAAUAAACACAAUACAAGGCCCAAUGCUUUUACCUAUAUGACGAAUAUCAGGUCAGCAAGGACCUUUACCGCACCUACCAGUCAUACAGUCGUUUCUCGGUAUAAUGAGGCGACACCAAGGUCACGUCCUGGGAAGAUGUGGACCGUACAUACGAGUUGGUUAACGAAUGCCUGGACUCGAUCAGGGGCGUAUGUGUACCCUGGGAAUACAAGAAGACCUACCCCAAGUCCCUGUAGGACAACCACACGUGGUUUGCUUGAUGGGAUGUUCUAGUUUGAUGGGAAGGUUAUUCGUACGACAAGGUAGAAGUUUUCGAAGUGCGUCGUGUUUCAUACGUAGUCCAUGGUGGUUUCCUAGUAGUAGUCGACAUCUGUGUCACGGUUGGAGGCGGUUAUUGGUAGGUAGUAGUUUCAAACGUUUAUUCCAUAGACCACGAAGGUAUUGUUUUCCCGUAGAAGGCAGAUCGUUCAAACACCGCGUAUGAUUGGUUCCCUUUCCUUCGAAAAUAGUUUCAUUUCCGUAAUUAAACUUACUUUCACCAUCUUUGACGUUGCCCUUACUCUUCGACUUCCGGUCCUCGUUCGAUUUACUUAAACCACUGGCACUGCAUAGUCUAUUUGGGUUGCUACUGAGUUUUUUGUCAAACUCGGGUCCUCGUCUAGCAAAACCGAACAGCCCACAUGUUCUCCAAUUGCUACUGUAUGGAAGUGAACAACGUCAUUCUUCUCUAAGUAUAUUAGAAGGACUAAAACAAUGCUUCAUACUCGUUCGAAAUAAGAAGCACUAAUUUAGAAUAUCACUUCUACUAUAAGUGUUCUCAUAGUUCAUGUUACAAACCCGUUCAUGAGGAUUACCUUUGUUUUCCGAACUGUUACGGAUAUUUUAACGUGUUCUUUCUUACCGUCCUUUUCCUUGGUUUACGGGACAAAAGGAGAAGAAAAGACAAUUACGAUCACCAGUCAAGACACCACACCGACUCUACGAACCGGGUCAUCUAAAGUUGUUCUCAUACUUGAAGACCGUUGUCCUGUUCACCUUACCUAAGAAGGGUCAUUUUACCGUGUAAUAGUUCCUACACGGAUUAGGAGUUAAAGCUGUGUAUUAUAACCUCUUAUUACUCUUGUUCGGACAAUGUUUGUCGUCCCUGUGAGUUCUCCAGUUCAAGGAUGUUCCACGUCUCUACGACUUGUAAAAGUUCUUGAAAAGUACGUUUUGCAGUUAUAACCUACUGAAACUGAAGAUACUCUUAUCCGUCUUUCAUUACGUCCUGUCUUCUCCGUUCGGCGAAUGAUGUAGUAACCUAGUGGAGUGCGGCUUCCUACUCUUUGGCAGUCUCAGACUUUUCGUUCGAGUUAGACGUACAUUGCAUCUCGUAGUAUUACGGUUCUCUUUGCUCCUCGUCUCGUUGCUACAAUGUUGUCUACAACUAUGUCGGUUCUGUUCAGUCUUCGUCUAGUUACACCUAGGCCGUCUACAACUAUGUCGGUUCUGUCCAGUCUUCGUCUCGUUGCACCUACGCCGUCUAGAACUAUGUUGGUUCUGUUCACUCGUCUCGUUUCACCAACGUCGUCUACAACUAUGUCGGUUCUGUUCACUCCCCUCGUUACCACAACGUCGUCUAGAACUACGUAGUUUGUCUUCGCUCCUUGUCUCGUUGUUCCAGUGGCGGCGCUACGAACUACUAUGUCCGUUCUCUUCGCUCCUCGUCUGCUCGUCGCAGCGGCGCCGUCCGACUACUGUCCUACCCGCGUAGACCUGCCUUCGAUGUAGGUUUAGCUCGCUGUUAUUUAACGACGCGCCUCGUGACUAUCUACCAGUUAGUAGGACCUUCGAGGAGAGGCAACCAGCCAGUUCGCCUCUUGUUCUCGGAACCUCGACAGAAGGGCACUCUUUACAAAAGUUACUGGCCCUUUUUUUUCCAAGACUCCGUAUAGUACCGACCAUCUCUUAAGGGGUACGAUGUGAGGAACAGAUAAAAAGUCGGUCCUCCUCCCUCACAAGGUUAGUAAAAAGAAGGACAAGAACAAAGAAGACAACAACAGCAGCAGUAGAUUAUAGGUCAAGAUAACGAUUACACAACUCUUCGUCUGGUGAACGGCACACCCAAAUUCCCGGACAAAAUCCAAGAUCGUUUCCAUCUUUUUUCCUUCCCUUUUUUUCUCAGGACGCAAAUCAAGGUGAUCACAUCUAACUGGAGUAGAACAUGGUAGUCUUAAUGAAGGUAAACUGCUCUUUUCCUCUUCUUUUUUUACCUGGUCUCUAGACAAGC